CAGAGAAUAGUUUAAUCUAGAAUUCUAGCUUUGGGGGCUAGAGGUGGAAGUUUGAAUCUUUCUUCUCUGG
Molecule: transfer RNA, 70 nt
Filed under: Sardinella zunasi (Japanese sardinella)
Lineage: Eukaryota; Metazoa; Chordata; Actinopteri; Clupeiformes; Clupeidae
Description: tRNA-Pro
Rfam family: tRNA
About the family: Transfer RNA (tRNA) molecules are approximately 80 nucleotides in length. Their secondary structure includes four short double-helical elements and three loops (D, anti-codon, and T loops).
Source: RNAcentral